RNAcentral lists this ribosomal RNA (292 nucleotides) under uncultured bacterium. Its description in RNAcentral is "partial 16S ribosomal RNA". It matches the Rfam family "Bacterial small subunit ribosomal RNA", at positions 505 to 796 of the family's 1533-position model. The record is from RNAcentral.
GUGUCAGCAGCCGCGGUAAGACGAACCGUGCGAACGUUGUUCGGAAUCACUGGGCUUAAAGGGCGCGUAGGCGGGCUGCCAAGUCUGGGGUGAAAUCCUCCGGCUCAACCGGAGAACGGCCUCGGAUACUGGCGGUCUCGAGGGAGGUAGGGGCGUGCGGAACUAAGGGUGGAGCGGUGAAAUGCGUUGAUAUCCUUAGGAACUCCGGUGGCGAAGGCGGCACGCUGGACCUCUUCUGACGCUGAGGCGCGAAAGCCAGGGGAGCAAACGGGAUUAGAAACCCUAGUAGUCC